CCCCACGUUCAAGUCGCGAUCGAGUCAUGGUUUCCUUUCCCAUCAGCAAAGAAGAAAACAAGAAGAAGAGGGCACUACAUGCAGAAACUUGGAAGCUGUACAUGAGCUAGUUCUACAGUUCUACUCACGUAUGAGGCGUACGGCCACUCCAUGCAUAUGGACGCAGAGCUUUGAAAAUACUGCAUGCCACUCAUCAGCUGUCAAUUCCCAAGGCAAUUACUGCUAGUUGGUACUGCAAGCGGUGACGUGAAAAUCGACAUUUGAUGGAUCACCCAGCCCAUCACCACGUGAUGCAAUGUCCAAGCAAAAUAGUAUCAAGGACUGAUCAUGUCAUCAGGACAUGUCCGAAAAUUUGAAGCCAGAGGCAAUACUUGCGUACAGAGAAAAAAAUCAACCGGCCGCUACUUCAAUGCGACGCUCAAGGCAGUCAUCACUAACAAAAGAUCACGUUGAUACAACUACUACAAUUAGAAAUACGUCUUAGGCGGUCGUUUCAGUGUGUCCAGAAUUAUUCAACAUCAGCGUCCGUGUUCAACCGAUAAAAUAUCAGGUGAUAUUUAUCCUAUCUAUUUAUCCAUAAAUAUUAAUUUA
This 591-nucleotide long non-coding RNA is filed under the name Hordeum vulgare. RNAcentral's name for it is "long non-coding RNA (HVUL_LNC009204)". Lineage: Eukaryota; Viridiplantae; Streptophyta; Magnoliopsida; Poales; Poaceae. The record is from RNAcentral.